RNAcentral lists this ribosomal RNA (442 nucleotides) under Pantoea dispersa. RNAcentral describes it as "bacterial SSU rRNA". It matches the Rfam family "Bacterial small subunit ribosomal RNA", at positions 575 to 1016 of the family's 1533-position model. Lineage: Bacteria; Pseudomonadati; Pseudomonadota; Gammaproteobacteria; Enterobacterales; Erwiniaceae. The record is from RNAcentral.
GCGGUCUGUUAAGUCAGAUGUGAAAUCCCCGGGCUUAACCUGGGAACUGCAUUUGAAACUGGCAGGCUUGAGUCUCGUAGAGGGGGGUAGAAUUCCAGGUGUAGCGGUGAAAUGCGUAGAGAUCUGGAGGAAUACCGGUGGCGAAGGCGGCCCCCUGGACGAAGACUGACGCUCAGGUGCGAAAGCGUGGGGAGCAAACAGGAUUAGAUACCCUGGUAGUCCACGCCGUAAACGAUGUCGACUUGGAGGUUGUGCCCUUGAGGCGUGGCUUCCGGAGCUAACGCGUUAAGUCGACCGCCUGGGGAGUACGGCCGCAAGGUUAAAACUCAAAUGAAUUGACGGGGGCCCGCACAAGCGGUGGAGCAUGUGGUUUAAUUCGAUGCAACGCGAAGAACCUUACCUGGCCUUGACAUCCAGAGAACUUAGCAGAGAUGCUUUGGUG